UGGGAGGCACAGUGGGGACAAGAGACUGCAGAGCUCUUUGCCUGCCUUGGCACAUUACCCCAGCACAGUCACCCCCCGCAGGGGCACCCACAGGGCCAGGGGCUGAGCCCGGCUGCUGGGAGUCGCUGUUCCAGCUCUGCAGAGCAAGAUUCAGCACCAGCCCACGGGCACUCCUCUGAGCUCUUCUGAGCUCCAGCAGCCUAGGGAACACACUGCCUCGGCAGCUACAGCGUCUGAGUCACAUCACCUCCCUCCGUCUGCCGCCUCAACCUCCAACACCAGAAGAUCCAGUUUAGCAAAAACUCACUUGCCGGGCAUAGCAGCUUAGUGGCGUCCGUGGGGAGCCGAGAAAAGAACGUGAUGGUGCUUACCUCCUGGGGACAUCAGACUCACUGCAGACAGGCAUGAAAGCGGCAGCACCCAGGAGUCUAUAGCGCACAUCAAACGAUGGUGCCUGAAGACUUCUGCUUCUCCGAUGGCAAGAACUCAGGAAUUAUUAUGCAUUAACUGAGGACCAACCCCAUGACAACUUGCCCUCUUCUGCCCGUGGAAAGAUAUCAGGACUCACACAGGGACACGUCCCAUCUUGCGUCUGCCACUGCUCCCUGGGUCACCCGGGUCCUCUGAUAAGGUGACCAUCUAUGAUGCUCCCACAGCAGAGCAAGUCAAGGGUGCUUCAGAAAACCGGACGUCCAGAGGUGUUAAACGUUACUCUUGAUGUAAUGUAUGCGAUAAAAUAAAACGACGCACAAAAGACUGUAACAUCCUACUACAUAAAGCUGCCAUAUUACUCUCAGAUUUUUAAACUAGACCGAGGGCCAUUUGGUACAGAGAGAAAUCAUUGUUAGAGAUAAAACUUUAUAUAUAUUUUCUGCUUAUUUCAGCAAACAGACCCUAAGC
This is a long non-coding RNA of Bubalus bubalis (water buffalo), 900 nucleotides long. RefSeq lists it as uncharacterized. NCBI's taxonomy places the organism in Eukaryota, Metazoa, Chordata, Mammalia, Artiodactyla, Bovidae. The record is from RefSeq and is a predicted model, not a curated record. The transcript is spliced from 3 exons.